UGGACGAAUUAUUGUAUUCGACUGUAUUCACGACGUGAAACAGGGGAUUACACUAUUUUUAAACGGAAAGUGAAUCAAUUAACAUAAUCGACUCCU
This 96-nucleotide microRNA precursor is filed under the name Nicotiana sylvestris (wood tobacco). RNAcentral's name for it is "MIR6152 microRNA precursor family". It matches the Rfam family "MIR6152 microRNA precursor family". Lineage: Eukaryota; Viridiplantae; Streptophyta; Magnoliopsida; Solanales; Solanaceae. RNAcentral also lists the same sequence under 1 other name. The record is from Rfam by way of RNAcentral.